RNAcentral lists this long non-coding RNA (297 nucleotides) under Zonotrichia albicollis (white-throated sparrow). RNAcentral's name for it is "lncRNA (ENSZALG00000012071.1)". The record is from RNAcentral. Lineage: Eukaryota; Metazoa; Chordata; Aves; Passeriformes; Passerellidae.
CAGGAAUGCUGUUCCGCUCGCCCCGCCCUGGCACGCUCCCAGCCCGCUUGCAGGAACACGCCGAAAGCUCUGUCUGCCACUUCCAGGGAUGCAGUACUUCCCCUGAAGGAGGAGAGCAAGCUGAUGUGGCUGACUAGGAACUACAGGACUGCUCACGUUUGUUAAGUCUUGGUUUCGGCAGAGCCUCAAUCUGGCUGCUGGCUUUUUGGACCUCUGAAGAUGCUGCUGUGCUUGGACUCAGUGUGACUCUUCUCUCAGAAGAAGAGCAGCAUUGUAAGUCAUGUCUAGGAUGUGUUU